ACCCUGAUUGAGCCAUCGGUGUGAAAGGGGUAUUGGUGAAAAGUUAAGAUCAGAGCGGAGUUUGGCAACAGGUAAUCAAUUACCGUGGGCAAACAAAGCAGGCUAGGAGCAGGUUGGAAGAGUACAUAGCUGAAAUUCAGUCAGGAACAGUUACACUUGGCGAUGAAGGCUCUAUUCUGAUGCUGCCUGGAUUAGUCCAAUGCCGCAGUUAAGACAACUGCCCCGGGAGCAAAUACAACCACCUCCUCCGCCCCCAUCAACAUAAUCAGUCUCAUUUCAGUCAUUGUGGCUGUGGUGACACCUGUACUUCACUCAGGUUGUUGAAGGUGUUAAAUGCAGUUCUUAUCCUGUGAAUGAAGUGAUGAAAAUCCAAAACAUCCAUCCAAAACAGGAACUGAAAUCAGAAAACAUCACGACUUCAUUCACGGCAGUGGACGCCAUUCAAGCAGAGAAUCAGCCCCUAGAGCAGAGAAGAGAAACUACAACAUCAUCACCAUGAUUGCAAAGAUUUGUGUCAUCCUCCUUCUGUUCGUUGCUUCUGGCAACUCACAGACCACAGUGGCCACAACAGUAACAACAGCUGCACCCGCACUUAACACAACUGCCCCGGCAGGAAAUACAACUGCCCCGGCCUCCUCCGCCCUCAUCAACAAAAUCAGUCUCUUUUCAGUCGUUGUGGCUGUGAUGACACCUGUACUCCACUCAGGUUGUUGAAGGUGUUAAGUGCAGUUCUUAUCCUGUGCAUGAAAGUGAUGAAAAUGUAAGGAUUUGUGUUUAUAUACUGUAAGCUAAUAUGCUAAUUGAUUUAGCUGUUUAAUGAUGCGUGUUUGUACACUGGACCCUCCUGGAGGUGUUUCUAAUUAAUACAAAUGCCUGUGAUGACUAUGUAAUGUUUUGAUUUAGAGGCCAGCGAGUGAAUCUGUCUAACGAAAUAUUAACAUUUUGUAUGUCGUCACAUGAUUAAAAAAAAAAAGAUGGUUUACAAUAAAGGUUUUGCAA
Long non-coding RNA from Sander lucioperca (pikeperch), 999 nucleotides. RefSeq lists it as uncharacterized. Lineage: Eukaryota; Metazoa; Chordata; Actinopteri; Perciformes; Percidae. The transcript is spliced from 3 exons. The record is from RefSeq and is a predicted model, not a curated record.